GAAAGUAGUGUCCCAGGAGUUUUGUCUGGCUCUGUUCAUUCAUGAAUUCAGCUGCCUAUCUCUUUAGACCAUGUUGUUUACAUCUCCAGUUAUUGAAGAUGCCAUAUGUUUAUUUUUUCCAUUCGAGAAUCCACAAGAAUAAAAUGCAUUUUAAAGAAAACAAUCUUCCUCUGUUAGUGAUCUUAGUAUACAAGAAGUAACUUUAUUUAAUCAAUAGCAACAAAAGA
This is a long non-coding RNA of Harpia harpyja (harpy eagle), 227 nucleotides long. RefSeq lists it as uncharacterized. The transcript is spliced from 2 exons. The record is from RefSeq and is a predicted model, not a curated record. NCBI's taxonomy places the organism in Eukaryota, Metazoa, Chordata, Aves, Accipitriformes, Accipitridae.